CUUUCUUAACGGAAAGCCGCAGUGAAUAGGCCCAAGCGACUGUUUAGCAAAAACACAGGUCUCUGCGAAGCCGUAAGGCGAAGUAUAGGGGCUGACACCUGCCCGGUGCUGGAAGGUUAAGGAGAGGGGUUAGCGUAAGCGAAGCUCUGAACUGAAGCCCCAGUAAACGGCGGCCGUAACUAUAACGGUCCUAAGGUAGCGAAAUUCCUUGUCGGGUAAGUUCCGACCCGCACGAAAGGUGUAACGAUUUGGGCACUGUCUCAACCAGAGACUCGGUGAAAUUAUAGUACCUGUGAAGAUGCAGGUUACCCGCGACAGGACGGAAAGACCCCGUGGAGCUUUACUGUAGCCUGAUAUUGAAUUUUGGUACAGUUUGUACAGGAUAGGCGGGAGCCAUUGAAACCGGAGCGCUAGCUUCGGUGGAGGCGCUGGUGGGAUACCGCCCUGACUGUAUUGAAAUUCUAACCUACGGGUCUUAUCGACCCGGGAGACAGUGUCAGGUGGGCAGUUUGACUGGGGCGGUCGCCUCCUAAAGUGUAACGGAGGCGCCCAAAGGUUCCCUCAGAAUGGUUGGAAAUCAUUCGUAGAGUGCAAAGGCAUAAGGGAGCUUGACUGCGAGACCUACAAGUCGAGCAGGGACGAAAGUCGGGCUUAGUGAUCCGGUGGUUCCGCAUGGAAGGGCCAUCGCUCAACGGAUAAAAGCUACCCCGGGGAUAACAGGCUUAUCUCCCCCAAGAGUCCACAUCGACGGGGAGGUUUGGCACCUCGAUGUCGGCUCAUCGCAUCCUGGGGCUGUAGUCGGUCCCAAGGGUUGGGCUGUUCGCCCAUUAAAGCGGUACGCGAGCUGGGUUCAGAACGUCGUGAGACAGUUCGGUCCCUAUCCGUCGUGGGCGUAGGAAAUUUGAGAGGAGCUGUCCUUAGUACGAGAGGACCGGGAUGGACGCACCGCUGGUGUACCAGUUGUUCUGCCAAGGGCAUAGCUGGGUAGCUAUGUGCGGAAGGGAUAAGUGCUGAAAGCAUCUAAGCAUGAAGCCCCCCUCAAGAUGAGAUUUCCCAUAGCGUAAGCUAGUAAGAUCCCUGAAAGAUGAUCAGGUUGAUAGGUUCGAGGUGGAAGCAUGGUGACAUGUGGAGCUGACGAAUACUAAUAGAUCGAGGACUUAACCAU
RNAcentral lists this ribosomal RNA (1165 nucleotides) under Bacillus wiedmannii. Its description in RNAcentral is "bacterial LSU rRNA". It matches the Rfam family "Bacterial large subunit ribosomal RNA", at positions 1751 to 2925 of the family's 2925-position model. The record is from RNAcentral. Lineage: Bacteria; Bacillati; Bacillota; Bacilli; Caryophanales; Bacillaceae.